This is a long non-coding RNA of Eriocheir sinensis (Chinese mitten crab), 279 nucleotides long. RefSeq lists it as uncharacterized. The record is from RefSeq and is a predicted model, not a curated record. NCBI's taxonomy places the organism in Eukaryota, Metazoa, Arthropoda, Malacostraca, Decapoda, Varunidae. The transcript is spliced from 3 exons.
AGGUUGUCUGCCGAACGAGUACCAAUGUGGCGUGACCUGCAUUGACCUCGGCCGCCGCUGUGACACCAGACCUGACUGCCCCGGCGGUGAGGACGAGCAGGACUGUGAGACGCACGAGUGCCCGGUGACGCAUUUCAAGUGUGAGAACCACCUCUGCGUCCCCAGCGAGUUGGUCUGCGACUUCGACGACCACUGCGGCGACGGGUCCGACGAGCACCAGUGUCAUCACCGCAAGUGCUGGAAGGCGGAGUUUGAGUGCGACAACGGGCAGUGCAUCAG